AUAACAAGAGACUAUUCCUGGUGACAAGCAUGUCUAGUCCUUCACCCGUAUAAAAUCAGAUGGGAAAGCUCUGCAGUUUAUUCAGGCGGAGAAGAUGUUCUACGAAGUGGCAUUGAUCGAGCUCACCUCGCUGCAGGCCAGCACAGGGUCUCAGGAAGACGGAACAUUGGGAACGUCAGGAUGUCUGUCUCAAGAGGAGUUAUCAGAACAGGCUUCACAGGCCCAGGAUCUUGAGAGACUGGCUCAGCUCUGCAUCAUGAGCAAAAGACCCCACCUUGCUUUAGAAUACAGUGGCAAGGCCACUAAAAUCCACCAGAGGGCUUUUGGUAACGAUCACCCCAUCACUGCCCGGAGUCUGGAGCUGCUAGCCACUGUCUAUGCAGAGAUCGGCAAAACAGAAUAUACAAAUUCAUUGGGAGAGUGUGUGUCGACUCUUUCCAAAAGGUUCUCAGCCACUGAGUCAUUCAGUGACGCUCUGAGUAGCAUUUCUCAUAGCCAUAAGGAGAGACACUCUGAGCUGCGACACAGAAAAAAGCCAUACAUACAACAGGAAACUCCUAAAACAAAGGUCAUAAAUGAAAAACUGCCCACCUCUAUUCUGAAAAGGUCCAAUGUGAGCAAUGUGGAGCCAGACUCAUCGCGCAAGCGAAAAACCGAGAGGCGGGUUCGCUUCAGAGAACCGGAGAUCACUGUUCAUGUCUACAACACUCCCCAGAGCCGUUUGCACCUGGCCCUGCUCACCUGCCUAUUCCUGCUUCUGUCUGCGCUGGGUCUAGCACUGUACUGCACGGACCGCCGGAGACCCCAGCGCGCCUGCGAAGAGCUGCAGACGGCACUGGCUGUGUACCUGCUUCAGUUCAAACAGAUCGUUUGGGCCUGCUGGAUCUGGCUGACCAUGCAAUGACCAUAACUGACCACAGGGGGCAGCAACAGGCAAGCAAAAAAAAACAUAAAAGGUCAGGAUGUUUUUUGAAGGACUGUGGAGGAAAUAAAAGAUAAAGGUCCUCUUGUUUUUUAUUGCUUUAUUUUCACUGUUAUAAUCAGACUGGCCACCAGUCGAAUUCUCUGAGGAUCUUCAACAUCCGCCUCUUUUAUUUUGUGGUUGAUUAAAGCUAUGUGCUUUUCACACCAUUAAGGGAUGGUGUGUUUUUUUUGCCCUUUAUGGUGGCUAAUGCCGCAUUAUACUGAGCCAUAUAUAUUUAGAUCUUUGUAUGUAGCUCGUUUUCCUCGUAUAGCGGUUCUGGAUGAUAUGUUUUAAAGGAAUAGUUCACCAAAAAUGAAAAUUUGCUGAACAUUCACUCAUCCUCAGACCAUCCAAUAUGUAGAUGAGUUUGUUUCUUUAGCAUUACAUCACUUGCUCACCAGUGGAUCCUCUGUAGUAAAUGGGUGCCAUCAGAAUGAGAGUUCAAACAGCUGAUAAAAAUGUCAUAAUGAUUCAAAAGUAUUCCACACAUUUUGUGAAGCAACAAGCUGUGCGUUUGUGAGAAACAAAUCCAUCGUUGAGGCGUUUUAAACUUUAAACCCUUUUACUUGUGAAUUACUGUGUUUUUAUCAGCUCUUUGGACUCUUAUUCUGACGGCACCCAUUCACUGCAGAGGAUCCAUUAGUGAGCAAGUGAUGUAAUGCUAAAUAUCUCCAAAUCUGUUCCAAUGAAAAAACAAACUCAUAAAAAUCUUGAUUAGCCUGAGGUUGAGUAUAUUUUCAGUACUUUUUAUUUUUGGCUGAAUGUUUCCUUUAAAGCAUCUUUUGGUCCUUUUCCAAAGAAUACUCGUGCAGCAAUAUUAAUUAAAACCUUUAGCACUCAGAAUUAUACAGUGUCGAGAGAGAAAACGAAUUAAUGAAUUCCGUCCACAGGUAGAGCCCUACUGAUAUAUUAAUAGGUCAGUAUUAUCAGUCAAAUUAGGCAUGUAAGACAUUGAAUACCUUUACAGGUCUCUAAUAAGCAAUAUGAAAUGAGCCACAUGUAACGGUGAGUACAUGCAUAAUAUCAUGUGCAUUGUUACAAGUAGUUACAUUUUAGUGCAGAGAACGCUUAGACACACACACACACACACACACACACACACACACACACACAUCGCAUGUGCUUAUAGAAUGAGUAAACGCAUGGCUGGAUCAUUUCCUGCUAGUGCUGUUCUUUGUGUUCAUUGGCUUUAUAUAAUAUUUACCUCAAUUUCUGAAGCGCUAUUUUUGUCGUAGGAUAUAAAUAGCAAUAUAAGGGCUUUCUGAUUCAAAGAGUGAAUUUAGGAAACUGCUGAAAUAAAUGUACUGUAUUACAAAAAUAAAGACAGGAUUGAGUUGGAAAUAUGUUUAUCCUCAGACACAUCCAAGAAUGGAUUUAUUUUCAUCCAGCUUCAA
Molecule: long non-coding RNA, 2358 nt
Filed under: Sinocyclocheilus anshuiensis
Lineage: Eukaryota; Metazoa; Chordata; Actinopteri; Cypriniformes; Cyprinidae
Description: lncRNA (ENSSANG00000020174.1)
Source: RNAcentral